GUGCAAUGUAAAGUAAUUACUGUGUAAAAUUAGAUUUUUUUCCUGUACUGCUCCAACAACUGGAAAGUUGAAUGAUACGAUCAAGUUUAAAUUGAAGAAUGCACAAAAUGGGUAAAGGAAGUCAGCGUAAAUGCAGAUGCUCCAGUGGAUAGCGCGAGCUUCAAACCAAAUGCUAUUGCGAGAUUGCUUUCAGGCAUUGGCACAGUGAAUGGCAGCUGAAAAAUUUUGACCCUUGUUUCUGGAAGUGAAAUGUUAGAUGGUUUGAUGAAGUGCCACAGAGAUUAUCGCUUAAAGAAUGCGUGCAGGCCAACCACCAACACAAGAUAUUAAAAAAGCAAUGAAAAUGAAGAUUUAACCAUAAAAAAAAUUCUGAGUAAUAUUAUUACUCAUAACACUUAAUUGUUUCAUAUUAUUGUAAAUUUAUGUGAGUAUUCCUGUAUUCUGUUUAUUUUGCAGCUUAUGUUAUUGUAAAUUCAUGUAUAUGUUUUCAUUCUUGCUCUGUCAUGCAUUUCAUACAAUAAUCGUUUGUUGUGCAUAUUAAUUAUAUGUGUAUAUUACAUCAUUGAAUUACUGUAUUUGAAUUUUAAUAAACCUUUUUACCAUUCAGUAGUACUUUUCCAUAAAACCCUGAACAUUCUAAACAUCCCAUAUCACUAAUCCUCAAUUCUAAAUAAUACUUGAGUUUACUUAAUUCAUGUAUUAAUAACGAAUUUGAAAAAUA
This 721-nucleotide long non-coding RNA is filed under the name Stegodyphus dumicola. Its description in RNAcentral is "uncharacterized LOC118205528". The record is from RNAcentral. Lineage: Eukaryota; Metazoa; Arthropoda; Arachnida; Araneae; Eresidae.